RNAcentral lists this ribosomal RNA (701 nucleotides) under Campylobacter jejuni. RNAcentral's name for it is "partial 23S ribosomal RNA". It matches the Rfam family "Bacterial large subunit ribosomal RNA", at positions 526 to 1221 of the family's 2925-position model. Lineage: Bacteria; Pseudomonadati; Campylobacterota; Epsilonproteobacteria; Campylobacterales; Campylobacteraceae. The record is from RNAcentral.
GCGGUGAGCCGAGUGAAAUAGAACCUGAAACCAUUUGCUUACAAUCAUUCAGAGCACUAUGUAGCAAUACAGUGUGAUGGACUGCCUUUUGCAUAAUGAGCCUGCGAGUUGUGGUGUCUGGCAAGGUUAAGCUAACGCGAAGCCGUAGCGAAAGCGAGUCUGAAUAGGGCGCUAAGUCAGAUGCUGCAGACCCGAAACGAAGUGAUCUAUCCAUGAGCAGGUUGAAGCUAGUGUAAGAACUAGUGGAGGACCGAACCCGCUAGCGUUGAAAAGCUAUGGGAUGACUUGUGGAUAGGGGUGAAAGGCCAAUCAAACUUCGUGAUAGCUGGUUCUCUCCGAAAUAUAUUUAGGUAUAGCGUUGUGUCGUAAUAUAAGGGGGUAGAGCACUGAAUGGGCUAGGGCAUACACCAAUGUACCAAACCCUAUCAAACUCCGAAUACCUUAUAUGUAAUCACAGCAGUCAGGCGGCGAGUGAUAAAAUCCGUCGUCAAGAGGGAAACAACCCAGACUAACAGCUAAGGUCCCCAAAUCUUACUUAAGUGGAAAACGAUGUGAAGUUACUUAAACAACCAGGAGGUUGGCUUAGAAGCAGCCAUCCUUUAAAGAAAGCGUAAUAGCUCACUGGUCUAGUGAUUUUGCGCGGAAAAUAUAACGGGGCUAAAGUAAGUACCGAAGCUUUAGACUUGCACACAACUUAGAUG